Long non-coding RNA from Gasterosteus aculeatus aculeatus (three-spined stickleback), 5100 nucleotides. The record is from Ensembl. Lineage: Eukaryota; Metazoa; Chordata; Actinopteri; Perciformes; Gasterosteidae.
GGUUUGAAUGUAAUGAUGAUUUGAUGAGUUAAUAUUGGUAGAACUGAAUUAAACAAAAAAAGAAAAGUUUAGAUUAUCAAUAGGGAUCUUGAAACAAAUCCAUUUCUCUAAAAAUUAGUUCAAGACACUGACGGUUAUUAGUAAGAAAUGGAGUAGUUCACUUUUAUAUCACUUAAAUUUACCGAGACACAAGUCUGUGUGCAGACUAAUAAUACCGCACAUUUCCAUGUUUUAUUUAGUGUUUUCUGUUAUAUUGUCUUAUUCAGGAUGGUGUCUUAGGUUGUUUCUGUCCAUUGAUUUAAUUUCAAAAUAGUUUUAGGCUUCCACAAAACAUAAAUAAUCUGUAGGUUUAUUAUCAAAGUCAAACAAAUAAAAGAAGAUUAGAAAAAAGCAAAUAUUUUCCCAUUUUGCAGUUUUACUGCUGGACGAAUGCUUAAAAAAAUGAGAAAUCUGCUUUGUAUUCAUAGCUCAUCUUUAAGAGGUCUUUAUAUGUUAGCAAAUUAUGUAUUUUGCUCUUUACUGUCUCCAUAAACUAUUAAAAUAUAUUAGCUUGCACCUCAUAAAUGUUACCACGGCACAACUCUUACUCACACUGGUAAAACAUCAAGAGGAACUGAUAUCACAGGGGAAAGGAAUGAUUUACUAAAGUUACAUAAAACUCUUCUUUCUGUGGCAGAUUACAAUAAAACUUCUAUAUAAUCUCUAAUAGUGGAAUAUUAUACAUAGGCUCUAUAAAAACAUCUUUAUGGCUCAGGAAAGAGAAGCAUUACGGCUUGUUCCCUGUUCGUUACGGUUUAAACGGUUUAAAGAUAAAUGAGUCCAUAUAUUUCACACAUCAGACGUCAUCUAAUUCACUGGAGGUUUGUCCAUAAAAAUGAGUCUUGUUUCAGAUUUUAGGUUGUGAGGAAGCGUCCACUAGUAGCGAAGAGAUGCAGUCCGAUAAGAAACAAUACAAAAAAUAAAACAAUUUGUUGCACACUUUAAACCUGUUGAUUACACAGUAAUACGAUGAUCUUCGUAUGUAUAACAACGUUUUUAUUUUCACUUUUAUUUCAUCUCAAAUUAGCUCAUUCCCAAAAAUGUUGGACUAUCCAUCUGUUGAAUACCCUGUAAUAUUAAUACAGACAGUAUGUUGUGAUCUUUCUGCUUUCAUUCAUCUGCCAACUUUAUGUAUAGUAUUAUUACAUUACAAGUCAUUUAGCUGAUGCUUUUAUCCAAAGCGACUUACAUCACAUUUUUAAUCCAUGGCUUUUUUACAUUUCGCCCAGGGAGCAAUUAGGGGUUAGGUGUCUUGCUCAGGGACACUUCAACAUGGGACAUGGAGCAGCCGGGGCUCAAACCGACAACCAUGCGGUUCUCCGGCACACCCUGUCUACCCACGCGCCACCGUCGACCCCCCGUCGACCCCCCGUCGAGGAUAUAUGUCCUAAAACAAACAUAUUAUGCACACACAGAUAUCCUGGUGUCCUGGUUGCUCUUCCUGGAGCAGCAGGGUGUCGCAGGGGGAGGAGGGGGGAGAAAAUGGAAGCGCAGGGACAACAGAGACAACAGGAGAACAGACCUCCCAUUGAACUUGGCUUGCUUCCAGCUCUCACUCAGCCAGCAAGCAGCUGUGAAUCAGUCGCUUGCUUAUGCACAAAAACGCUGCCAUUACAUUAAACACACACUCGAUCAGGCGCCCCAGUCCCAUACCCAGGUCCAGUCCCAGUCUCAUGCCCAGGCCCAGUCCCAGUCCCAGUCCCAGUCCCAGUCCCAUACCCAGGUCCAGUCCCAGUCUCAUGCCCAGGCCCAGUCCCAGUCCCAGUCCCAGUCCCAUACCCAGGUCCAGUCCCAGUCUCAUGCCCAGUCCCAGUCCCAUACCCAGGUCCAGUCCCAGUCUCAUGCCCAGGCCCAGUCCCAGUUCCAUACCCAGGUCCAGUCCCAGUCUCAUGCCCAGGCCCAGUCCCAGUCCCAGUCCCAGUCUCAUACCCAGGUUCAGUCCCCGGCCCCGUCCAAGACCCAGGUCCAGAUUCAGACGCGGGCUAACAGCAUGGGAAAGUCCUCCUCCAGUAUCAGCUCUCCCAUUUACCCCCUGGUCUCCUCUGUCGGCGCUGCGCUCUUACCUGCAGGGCUUUUCGUUCCUGAUUCUCCUACUUUUUCUCUUUUUAGUUUCUUGACAGACGUUGGCCUGGGGGGGUUGCGUUUGGUGAAGCUCUGGUGGGAACCAGCGUAGGGUGACCGCAGGAAGGGGGUCUUCCAUGAGGAUGUUGGGAGGAUCCUGGUGGAUGACAGUACUGUUUGUGCAGGCAGAUGUACAGAGACAGAGAGAGCCUGGCUUGGGAACACCCUGAUCGAGGGGUACCGUCGGCCCGUCUGAGGCCCAGAAGGAACUCGCGCAUCUCGCCGGCGGUCACGAAUCCGCGGCGCUGUGCGGGAGAAGCCCGAGCGGGCCCCCGCACAGCGAGGGAAGAUGACCUCCGGUGAUAACGCUCACAGGGGUGAAUGUCAAUCACGCUGCCUGCACGAAUGUGUGUGCGCGUGUCUGCAUGUGUGAAACAAUGCUCCACGAUUGUUGAUGCAAGUAUGUUUUGUGUACAAUGCAUUCUUAGUGUGUGUGUGUGUGUGUGUGUGUGCCCACCGAUGGCCCGUUAGAUUGAGCUGUCAGUCUGCAGGCGGCAGAUGAAGAUUAAUGGAGCGUGCAAACAAUAAGAAGCUGGCAAUGAUCAUAAAUAUGCUAAUGGCUAUUAUCAAUACACACUCCCUGACAGGGUGUGUGUGUGUGUCUGUACAGUAUUCCAGUAGCAAAGAUUUGGGUAGGAGAUUAUUCGAUGAAGUUAAAAUUGUUCUCCCUCCCCUUGGGAUGCACACAAACACACACACACACACACACACACACACACACACAGACGCACACACAUUUUUAGAGCGGCAGUGUGUUGACUGACUGAUGGACGGGAGAGACAGCCGUCCCAUGUGUUAUGUUUGUGUUGUGGGCUGUGAGAGGGGAGGGGGGCUCAUUGAGCAGAUUACAUGAUUGGUUUUGUAUCAAAAUGUGUUUAUUUAGUGUUUGUGUGUCCGCGCGUGUGUGUGUGUGUAGGUGUGUGAGAAGCGCCGUGGAUGUCUACGAUGUCUGUGCCAAGCCACUGAUUAAGGGUUCAGCUACAGGUUCAGCUAAUGGCACAAUGAGAGGCUGAUUAAGAGCGGCAGAGAUGCUGGGAAAAAAAAGAGAGUGGCGUGAGAUAUAAAAGGGAGAGAUGGACAGAUCCAUUCACUACACUGAUGAUGGGGCUCUUUGUUGUCUCAUCCCAUUCUAUGGUCCUCUGGGGUCCUUCCUAUGUCUGGAGCAUACACUCAUUUAAAAAGAAAAAAGCCUCUUUCUUUACCCGCUGCCUCAGCCUCCUUCCUCCUUCCUCACAACCCAUGUGGGUCACCCAGCGCAGAGGAGCAGCACAGGGGCCGCAAACUGAAACCCGGUCACCGUUCAUCACCUGGGAAACAUACUUCUUCACCUCCUUCUGUACUUUUUACCCCUGGUUGUCUCCUCUAAUGCCCCCCUCCUCCUCUCACUUUGCUCUGCUAGGGUCUGCAGGGUCCACUGGGAAAUGUUGGGGGCUCACAGGGCUCUCCAACCUUCCUUGUCCUUUAAACACACAUAACUCCUGCACUCCCUGACCCCCCCUCCCCUCGAACACACACACACGCACACACACUAUUCAUCCGAUCCUGAUAGGGAGUCAUUUGUGUGUGCUCGGGUGGCGAUGGAUGGAGCAUGUAAAGUAGACAUAGGGAAGUGGUUAUGAUCUGGGCUAAUGAGCUCACAGGGGACUCUGGGAUAGAGGAGGCCGGCCAGUGGCAGGCCUGCUUUGGAUACACCCCUCUGGGGGGGGUCCCUGUUCCAGCCCGGUUGCCCCAUGGGAAUGUGUCAGUGUAUGAGUGUGUACAGUAUCUGUUUGAAACGGUCCCCGCGGUCAUUACAUACGCAUUCUGCUGAGCUGGGUAUUAUUGCGCUCCAUGGACACGGGUAGCAUUUAGAUGUCGAAUCACAUCGGUCAUUAAGUCAAGGUCACCGCUGAGGGCGAAAACACGGAGGGACCCGCUGCUUUUUGGACUGCUAUCGAACAAAAGACACCCUCCCUUGCAAGCCAGGCAGAUCAAACUCAUAGAAACUCAGUGACUGCGUCCGCGGUGACCGAACAGGUGUGCGCGCGUGUGUAUCGCUGUGUCGUUUUGUGUGCGUCUCAUUGCCAUGCAUGGUGUGUCAAGAGUUGUCCAGGAGGCUGAGCCGCCGCUCGCUGCUCGAGGGCACAGUUAUAGAUUACUGGCUGCAGCGGGCGGGGGGGGGGCCAGGGGAGCCGCCGGAGCCCAGACCCGAGAACGACAGGCCCCGGACGCGUCUCUCGGCUCAUCAGCGUAUCUCUCGAAGGCUGCGGAGCUUAACCUGGAGCAAGGCUCUGAUUAACCGGGCUAAUGACGGGGCAGCCCCCAGCUCCCACUGACCAACACCAUAAUCACUGCUUAAGGCCCCGGCCAGUCGGCGUGUGUGUAUGGAGAGAGACAGAGAGAGAGAGAGAGAGAGAGAGAGAGAGAGAGAGUAGUGUCACAGCUUAAUGGAUAAGUCUACUGACAACAAGCAUUUAAAGUCAGCUGUCGAUACCAGCUUUUAGAGUCACUCGCAUUGGCAGGGGAACGGCGUAUAAAGAGGCUGAAUCGACACGUUCAGACGCCCAAUUCUUUUUUCCUGUGUUUGACAGUUGAACGUGUUCAUGCGGCUGAGUUUGUGCGUGUAGCCGCGGAAUGGCUGUGCGUGUGUGUGAAAGUGUGUGUAACCGCAUUUGUAGGUGUUUAAUAAGUGCUGAUCGAUGCCUUAUCUCCAAAGUAAACAUUUCCUCAGAACAGUGGACGGACUCAGCCUUGGGUACACAGAGGGAACCCCGACAGGCAAACUGCACAAAGCAAACGACACAUGCAAAUAAGACAAAGACAGAUGUGUUUUUGUCCGUGUGCGACUCUUACAGACAACUUCCCAGUAAAGGAAACUAGCGUGCACCCGUGAUGCAAGUUAAGUGUCUUUGUGGGUGCGAGGCCGGGAAGGGUGGCGGUGCAAUUGCCCUGCAGCAAGAA